RNAcentral lists this non-coding RNA (624 nucleotides) under Pan troglodytes (chimpanzee). The record is from RNAcentral. Lineage: Eukaryota; Metazoa; Chordata; Mammalia; Primates; Hominidae.
GGGGUUUCUGUAGCAGUUUCUUUUGCAUAGCAGAGCUCCGACUUUUCCAGCAACAGCGUGUCCCUGGAAGCUACACAAAGUCCUCUUUGAUUGCCUGUGAUCAAAGCCACGAAGGCUCUCCUGCAACAUCUUAGCUUCAGAAAGCCAGGAAAAUCAGAAUGCUGACAGUAUAUUAAUAAUUCCUAAACAUAUUUUUAAGGGUAUCAGAGCCAGGAGGGUGGCUGACUCUGAUGAUAGAACAAGAGCCAGAUAUGCUCCUGCUGCUCCAGUAGAGUGGUCUUCAGGUGAUCGAGAUUCCGAGCUCCCAAACCAAGGCAAGAAUAAGGAAACUGGAACAGGAGGGCAUGGUGGGCUCCAGCCUCCCGUGACAGUGAAACAUUGCCUUAGAAUGACUGUUGUUAAUACAAUUGAGGAAAUAGAACACGUAAUCUUGUGAUUAAGUUAUACACAAUUUGAUUUAAAUUUAGUUCCUGGCAGUUGCUAGGUUUCACUCUGGCAUACUCUCUCAGUGUGGAAGCUGCUGAUUCAGAAAGAGAUGUUCCAAAGCUCAUGUAUUUCCUGGACACAUCCAAGUACUGAAUAAAAUGCUGGUUAAAUAAAUGAGUUAAUUUUCCAAGAAAGACA